RNAcentral lists this ribosomal RNA (301 nucleotides) under uncultured bacterium. RNAcentral's name for it is "partial 16S ribosomal RNA". It matches the Rfam family "Bacterial small subunit ribosomal RNA", at positions 509 to 807 of the family's 1533-position model. The record is from RNAcentral.
CAGCAGCCGCGGUAAUACGUAGGGUGCAAGCGUUAAUCGGAAUUACUGGGCGUAAAGCGUGCGCAGGCGGUUAUAUAAGACAGAUGUGAAAUCCCCGGGCUCAACCUGGGAACUGCAUUUGUGACUGUAUAGCUAGAGUACGGCAGAGGGGGAUGGAAUUCCGCGUGUAGCAGUGAAAUGCGUAGAUAUUCGGAGGAACACCGAUGGCGAAGGCAAUCCCCUGGGCCUGUACUGACGCUCAUGCACGAAAGCGUGGGGAGCAAACAGGAUUAGAUACCCGUGUAGUCCCUGUCUCUUAUAC